Molecule: long non-coding RNA, 709 nt
Filed under: Setaria viridis
Lineage: Eukaryota; Viridiplantae; Streptophyta; Magnoliopsida; Poales; Poaceae
Description: long non-coding RNA (SVIR_LNC008394)
Source: RNAcentral
GGUGGGAGAGUGAGGUGGCUACAUUACAGUAGACACAUCAAGAGGGGAAACGGGGGACGAGAGAGGUGGCUACACCAUAAAACAUUGAGGAGAAGAAGAAAGGAGCAACCGAGCGCGGCAGCUAGGUCAUAAGUGAUAGAGAAGGAUAUGAGACGGCAUGAGGGUGAGCGAGGUGAUCUACUGACAUGUCAUAGGACAAAAGAGGAAAGCGAACAGCUAGAGAGAAAAGAACAUGAUAAUAAAAAAGAUAGAAAUUAAGAUUGCCAUAACAUCUUCAUGAGAUCGUAGAAAUUCAUCUAUAGUGUUUUGAGGUAUUCGUUUUACUUAUCCUUAGUUCUGUAUUUGAAAAUGUUCGCUAGGAAUGGGCGACCAUUUUAGUCAUAGACAUGUGUGAUCCUCGUGUCCUUUGUUUUCUUUUGAUCGAUGAAAUGUUGUAUUGUUUUUUUAACCAACAUGCCUAAAGAAGGGGAAAUGUUGCAACUAUGAGCUGUAAGCUAUAUGGUUGCCUCUACCUUCAUUUUUUUGGGGAAAAAAAAACAGAUCUACAAUCGUAAGAUGGUUAAAACCGACAGUCUGGGAUACAAUACAAACGCCACCUACAACCGUACGCCAUUCACGCGCCUUGAAAAACAAGCGUGCAAAACAAGCAAAAGGCGAGCUGUCCACAAGGCACAGUGAGAUUCCCCCCGGCCCUGUCGGACCCCCAGCC